RNAcentral lists this ribosomal RNA (166 nucleotides) under Bacillus sp. cl25. RNAcentral describes it as "23S rRNA. Bacterial LSU". It matches the Rfam family "Bacterial large subunit ribosomal RNA", at positions 2759 to 2925 of the family's 2925-position model. Lineage: Bacteria; Bacillati; Bacillota; Bacilli; Caryophanales; Bacillaceae. RNAcentral also lists the same sequence under 1 other name. The record is from RNAcentral.
AGGGAUAAGUGCUGAAAGCAUCUAAGCAUGAAGCCCCCCUCAAGAUGAGAUUUCCCAUAGCGUAAGCUAGUAAGAUCCCUGAAAGAUGAUCAGGUUGAUAGGUUCGAGGUGGAAGCAUGGUGACAUGUGGAGCUGACGAAUACUAAUAGAUCGAGGACUUAACCAU